Molecule: ribosomal RNA, 533 nt
Filed under: uncultured bacterium
Lineage: Bacteria
Description: bacterial SSU rRNA
Rfam family: Bacterial small subunit ribosomal RNA
Source: RNAcentral
AGAGUUUGAUCCUGGCUCAGGAUGAACGCUGCGUGUGUGCCUAAUACAUGCAUGUUGAAGGCUCAGGGAAUUGCUUAGCACUUUAAGACUUAGUAGCGAAUGGGUGAGUAACACGUACUUAACCUACCCCCAAGUUUGGGAUAACGUUUGGAAACGAACGCUAAUACCGAAUACGUAUUUUUAUCGCAUGAUAGAAAUAUAAAAGGAGCUUCGGCUUCGCUAGGGGAUGGGAGUGCGCUACAUUAGUUAGUUGGUAGGGUAAUGGCCUACCAAGACUAUGAUGUAUAGCGGGGCCGAGAGGCUGAUCCGCCACACUGGGACUGAGAUACGGCCCAGACUCCUACGGGAGGCAGCAGUAGGGAAUUUUCCACAAUGAACGAAAGUUUGAUGGAGCGACACAGCGUGCAGGAUGAAGGUCUUCGGAUCGUAAACUGCUGUUAUAAGGGAAGAAAAACUUUAGUAGGUAAUGACUAGAACUUGACGGUACCUUAUCAGAAAGCGACGGCUAACUAUGUGCCAGCAGCCGCGGUAAU